This 253-nucleotide ribosomal RNA is filed under the name uncultured bacterium. RNAcentral's name for it is "partial 16S ribosomal RNA". It matches the Rfam family "Bacterial small subunit ribosomal RNA", at positions 524 to 776 of the family's 1533-position model. The record is from RNAcentral.
UACGUAGGGUGCGAGCGUUGUCCGGAAUUACUGGGCGUAAAGAGUUCGUAGGUGGUUUGUCGCGUUGUUCGUGAAAUCUCACGGCUUAACUGUGAGCGUGCGGGCGAUACGGGCAGACUAGAGUACUGCAGGGGAGACUGGAAUUCCUGGUGUAGCGGUGGAAUGCGCAGAUAUCAGGAGGAACACCGGUGGCGAAGGCGGGUCUCUGGGCAGUAACUGACGCUGAGGAGCGAAAGCGUGGGGAGCGAACAGG